Panicum virgatum (switchgrass) is the source of this 3955-nucleotide long non-coding RNA. RefSeq lists it as uncharacterized. The record is from RefSeq and is a predicted model, not a curated record. The transcript has 5 exons. NCBI's taxonomy places the organism in Eukaryota, Viridiplantae, Streptophyta, Magnoliopsida, Poales, Poaceae.
UUUUGAAACGGAACCGGCAGGAGAGCUGCCUGUUAUAUUAAAAAGGAGAGGCAAAAACUAGAGUGCAAAACUGGAACAAGCAACAAAACUUUACACUAUACAUAGAGCGCCCGCGUUCGAACUCUCUAGAGGAAACUCAAGCUCCACUAAUUAGACACGCCAGGUGCUUCGCCCCUGCCAGAAUCCAAGCCGAAGCCUCUCCCUUAAUCUUCUCUGCCACUGUAAAAGAAGGCACUUCUGUACUGUUAAAAAUACGUGCAUUAAGCUCAUUCCAAAUCUCCCAGCAAACGAGAAUGACAAGUGAUUUCAAACCCUUGCGCGAAACUCCUCUUAUCGCAGCCAUCUCCGACCACCACUCGUGGACCGAGUUUGUGCAAGUCCAGUUUGUCGGAUGCAGAGACAGCUCCCCAAGCCAAAAGGAUAAGGCGGCCCAAAUACGCCCGGUGAACCUUUAGUCGACGAAAAGGUAAUUUCCCGUCUCCGGACAGCUACAGCAAAGUGAACAGGUUGGGUUAUGCGGCCAGUCUCUUGCGCUCAGUCUAUCUGCCGUCCAAAUUCUAUCUUGUACAGCUAGCCGGCUAAAGAAUUUGCAUUUUGGUGGUGCCCAGGCCGACCAGAUGAUUUGGUUGAAGUUGGUGCUCAUUGCCCCUGGAACUGUGCGUGGUAGGCGGAGCUUGUUGAAAACUGGCCCGACUCGUUGAAUUUCCAACAGAUUUCAUCUUGGAUGUGCGGAGUGAGGUUCACCCUUUGGAUUGUUCUCCAGAGCUGCACAAAUUCUACGAUGAGCUGCGCAGAGAAGGAUGGGUGUAACAUGUCUAAAUCCUUUAUCCAAGUGUUUCUAGCCAGUGCUUCAUAUAGCGUUCUGUUUUUUUCAUGGAGAUAGUGUAUACAGAUGGUGCCAUAUCCCUUGGACGUAUUCCCUGCAUUCAAACACUAUUCCAAAAGGCUAUUUUCUUCCCAUUCCCAAUUUUGAUGGUGGUUGCUGCCACAAAUAGGUGCUUAUCAGUUUUGUUGCAAGAAAACUCACUGCCGACCCAAGGUUUGUCCUCAGGAUUCUAGUCGCGCCAAAGGCAACGAAGACGGAGAGCUCUCGCAAAUUUGCCGAGGUGCAGGAUACCUAGGCCUCCAUUCUUUUUCGAUCGUGCAGCCCUUGUCCAAUUCACCUUGCACUUGGCCCUCGUAAUUCUCUCUGUGCCGGCCCAAAGAAACGGUUUGCGCUUUGCAUCAAUAUCCUGCAAGGUUGGCUUUGGUGCACGUAAAGCCGGUUUGGUCGCAUUGCCAGUAAGCUACCGUGUGUGCUGGGCAGUGGACACAGCGAAUGUGCUGGACAGUGGACACGUACGCAAGGAUUCUGUACAUGUACUGUAUGAGGUGUGUCAUCAAGGAGAUUAUUGCUGAUGAAGGCAAACUAUACAUUGUACGGUGUCAUCGACCUGGGAGCGAGCCAGCCAUAGGGAAAGCGUGUCAGCAUCCUGAUAUGAUCUGACGAUAGAUUGGGCUAGUGAUUUGGGGGAAAGAAGAUGGAGAUAGAUGAGAAAUUUAGGGUUCUAAGAGCAACUCCAGCCGGGCCCUUAAAUGGGACUCUAUCUCUUGUUUUAGUCUCCCAAUAAAAAAAACAUCUCCAACCGAGCUCCUAUACGAGCCCCCAUUUUGGGGAGGCCACUAAAUUUUGGUCCAGAGUCCCUAGAACUGGAGGCCCUCUAAAUUUAGUCACCCUGCUGGAGUUUGAAGCCCCUAAAUUUUUAUAGGCUGGCUCCUAAAAGCAAUAUAGGGGCUCAAAUUUAGUCUCUCCGUUAGAGUUGCUCUAAGCUGCUACUAUGAGGUGUGUCAAGGAGAUUAUAAUAGCAAUAAUGCGCGACUUCCUUUCCUUCGUUAGUUACUGUCACCGGUCACCGGUUAUGUACUCCGGGUGGGGGCCGGGGUUCCUUUUUUUUUUCCUUAGAGAACAGCAGUGGUCUUUGACCGUCGUCGGAUACGUGCAGGCACGUCAACAACCACGCACCAACCACUAUACCACAGCCCCAAAAUCCCAACAGAUGUCGGUUGGGAAAAGUAGAAGAUUAGCAACGAACAGUCGGUCGGUAAAGUUCUGUAACAAACCAUUGGUCGGUAAUUCAAGUUUCACCGACCGAUCAUCAGUCGGCAUUUAUAUUCACAUAUACCAUCAAACUAUCUGUCGGUAAUACUUUGUAUUUGCAUCGAACCAUUCGUCGGUAUAUAUGGAGUGGAGCCCAAUCUGAUGUUUAAUGGGCUGACCAUAUCGGCCCAACCAUCUGUGACCACUCAUCAAGAUGAACGGCUCACGUUCUUCCGACCAAGGUAUAAAAAGGUUGGGUAAAAACCUAACCCUAGUUUUCUCAUUCUCCCUCCAUCCUCUCACGCGCCCACAUGGAAACAGAGGGAGGAUUGAGCAGGCAGAGGCAGCUGUUCGGGGGCACGCUCGUGCCCUUCCCCGGCGCUCACCGGUGGCCCGCGCUGGAGGCCGGCGGUCGGGGGGCCCGCGCCCGCGACUGCGGCCGGCGGCCAGCGCCUGGGGUAGCGUCGCGUUUGCGCCGGGCCGGGGGGCUGCGCCGAGCCGUGGGCUGAAGCCACGCUGGCGGCCGGGGUCGGCGCCGCGCGCAUAGGCACCCGCGCCAUGGCCAGAGGCUAGCCGCGCCGCACCGGCGGCCGGGGGCCUCGCCUAUCUAUUUCGCCGAUAUGAGGCUCCGUCGCCACCACCGCAAACGCGGGCGCGAGGACGAGGAGGCGAGGAACUGGGCGUAUGUCGUCGUUCCCGGGCUCCUCCACAGCGACGCCGGCACAGGGCCCCAGCAACUUCGACAGUAAGCCGCGUCACCACCUGUGACUCGUGGCCUGCAGCCCCAUCGAGCUUCUCGCCGAUUUAGGGUAGCAGAUUUACUAGGUGGUGUAUUUGCAAAUGUUAUGGGCUUCUAGAACAGGUUGCGUUUACUCUUGUUUGCUUCUAGUUUUAGUCUUAUUUUUAUUUCCUCUCUAUAGGCUCAAAUGCACUCGAGCUUACACCAAACUUGCAAUUUUUCUUCACGAUUGUAGGGUCCUACCUGGGGCUCCUUAAUUUUAUUGCUGCCAUCAGUUUUGCAAUUGGAUCUUAACCAAAAACCAUCAUGCUUCUAUUGAAUUUCAAGCAGUUCUAGGAGAUGCUAGCUUGAUGGUGUCAGGAGCAAGCAAGACAUUUAAAGUGCUUAUGGAAGCUGUGUUUUGUUUCAAAGAUGCAUUAGAAGGAGUCGACUGCUCUGCUGUGUUCUUGGCAUCAUGUGGUAAAUUAUUUCAACAACAUGAUGAACUUGUUGGAAAGGAUGUGAUAUUAUAUGCCUUGCUGCGAUCUGAUGUAGCAGUGGCUAAGGGGAACAAUUAUUUCAACUGAUCCAAAGAGCACGCUAGGAGAUGUGGCUCUUGGAAAUCAGUAUUGUGAAGUGGUUGUGAAUGUUGUGCUGAAAAGGGAUACAAUUCUGCAUCGUCCUUAUGGUUAUGUGGAGACUAUGGCUGAUGCACAUAAGAUGUCAAUUGCAUGGCCAUACAAAAGAUUGAAGAUUACCAAAGGAUCACAAUCUACCCAAUGUACAACAGGUGGGAGGUCUUAUUGGUGGCAUGAUGGUUGAUCAUGUAAGCAACAAGGGGAUCAACGCUCAUGGACACUUAUUUUGGGCAGUGCUUAUGGGCAUUUUUAUUUUGGGUAGUGCUCAUUUGGAAUAUCUAGGCUGGCUUCUAUUAUUUUGUAAAUGUGGGCAUGUGGCUGCUGCUUGUAAUGUGGUCUCUGACAAACCCAACAGACUAUCUAGCUAGCUUGACUUGAGCACUGUGACAUCACAAAUGAUGUUUAUGAUGAAGCUUUGCCAACCAAUUAUAUAUUGUUGAAUAUAUGUAGGAUUCAUAUGAAAACUAUGAGCUCUAUUUUAAUCAAUACUAUGUUUGAUAUCUGUUGGAUUCAAAUGAAAAA